This 253-nucleotide ribosomal RNA is filed under the name uncultured bacterium. RNAcentral describes it as "partial 16S ribosomal RNA". It matches the Rfam family "Bacterial small subunit ribosomal RNA", at positions 524 to 776 of the family's 1533-position model. The record is from RNAcentral.
UACGAAGGGGGCUAGCGUUGUUCGGAAUUACUGGGCGUAAAGCGCGCGUAGGCGGUGAUCUUUGUCAGAGGUGAAAGCCUGGGGCUCAACUCCAGAAUUGCCUUUGAAACGGGAUCGCUUGAGUCCGAGAGAGGAUGGCGGAAUUCCUAGUGUAGAGGUGAAAUUCGUAGAUAUUAGGAAGAACACCGGUGGCGAAGGCGGCCAUCUGGCUCGGUACUGACGCUCAGGCGCGAAAGCGUGGGUAGCAAACAGG